GUGAGUAGGCGUCAUUCUUCACAGUAGUCCUCUGCCUCCACCGCCCCGGGAUCUCCUUGCGCUUGGUCCUCUACGUGGAGUCACCUAUGCAGAAGAAUUCCACGGGGCGGGGGCGAGGACAGGGUGCGGGGGUCUUUAUGGCAGACAGUCCCCGGCUGAGCGCUUGGCCAGAGUUUCUGUGAUGCUAGAAUCUGGACUGCCUGCGACCUCUCCGGGACUCGGACACCAGCCCUCGCCUCCUGGUGAUCUUUUAGGUCCUGCAGAGAAGCGAAGAGAUGAGGCCCAGAGAGGCGAAGCCACUUGAGCUCGUGAGUGACAGUCAGAUCUCAAGCCCUGCUCUUUCUAAAGCGUGCUGCCUUCAGAAAAGAAGAGCCAGAAGGAUGGAAAUUACUUUAGAAAGAUAAAUACCAGCUUUGAAGGAAUAAAAGCUGACAAGGAAUUGAAGGAGUUGAGGCACAAGCUUGAACAGGGUUGCAUGUUUGGCCCUUGAUUGUAAAUGCCCAUUGCUGCACCUGUUCCUGUUACUUGGGGAGUUGCAGCAGAAGGAACAGCAGCCUGGGACUCCAGAGAACUGGGUUCCCUCUCAUCUCUCCAGGGCCACCACUUCUUGUGGGCCCUUGGGCAAGUCACUGUACUUUCUGAGUCUCAGUUUCCCCAUUUGCAGAAUGGAAAUAACUACCCCGGUCUACCAACUUAGAAGAAUUGCUUUGAGGAUCUGAUAAGGUGGUGUGGAUGAUGCUGCCUUGGGGGCUUUACAGUCUGGAGCUCAAGGGACCCCUUAAGUUGGGCUUACUUAGUAACUCCAGGGGUGGGCAGAACAGGACUCCAAUGAGGGUUUUUUUCUUUUUCCCUUUUUUUUCUUUUCGUAUCUCUUAACUUUUAUCUUUAUUAUUUUACAAUGCCCUUGUAAGAUGAAACAAGUGAUGCUGAAAUAUCUUUUUUCUUUUUUAACCUUUAUUUUAGAAUUGGGGUACAUGUGCAGGUUUGUUGCAUAGGUAUAGUGUGGGCUGCUGAGGUUUGGAGUACGAAUGAAUUAGUCACCCCAGUGGUGAGCAUAGUGCCCGAUAAGUAGUUGUUUCAACCCUUACUCCCAUCCCUCUCCAUUCUUGUGUUCCCCAGUGUCUGCUGUUCCCGUUUUUAUGACCAUGUGUACUCAAUGUUUAGCUCCCACUUAGAAGUAAGAACAUGCCCAGCACUUUGGGAGGCCGAGGUGGGUGGAUCAUGAGGUCAAGAGAUCGAGACCAUCUUGGCUAACACAGUGAAACCCUGUCUCUACUAAAAACAUAAAAAAUUGGCCGGGUGUGGUGGUGGGCACCUGUAGUCCUAGCUACUCGGGAGGCUGAGACAGGAGAAUCGCCUGAACCGGGGAGGUGGAGGUUGCAGUGAGCUGAGAUUGUAACCACUGCACUCCAGCCUGGGUGACAGAGUGAGACUCCAUCUCAAAAAAAUAAAAAUAAAAAAAUAAAAAGAAUGUGGUGUAUGA
RNAcentral lists this long non-coding RNA (1483 nucleotides) under Pan troglodytes (chimpanzee). RNAcentral describes it as "lincRNA". Lineage: Eukaryota; Metazoa; Chordata; Mammalia; Primates; Hominidae. The record is from RNAcentral.